GGUAAUACGUAGGUGGCAAGCGUUAUCCGGAAUUAUUGGGCGUAAAGCGCGCGCAGGUGGUUUCUUAAGUCUGAUGUGAAAGCCCACGGCUCAACCGUGGAGGGUCAUUGGAAACUGGGAGACUUGAGUGCAGAAGAGGAAAGUGGAAUUCCAUGUGUAGCGGUGAAAUGCGUAGAGAUAUGGAGGAACACCAGUGGCGAAGGCGACUUUCUGGUCUGUAACUGACACUGAGGCGCGAAAGCGUGGGGAGCAAAC
Molecule: ribosomal RNA, 255 nt
Filed under: Bacillus wiedmannii
Lineage: Bacteria; Bacillati; Bacillota; Bacilli; Caryophanales; Bacillaceae
Description: partial 16S ribosomal RNA
Rfam family: Bacterial small subunit ribosomal RNA
Source: RNAcentral